CAGUUUUGGGAUUUCGCCGAUUUCCGGCCAUUCCGGCCACCUCCGGCCACCAUAUUGACAUCGAAGGGUUCUUGAAGCUUCGGGGCUUUCCUUCACCGGCUUGAUUCGACCACUUCGAGGACGAGAGGAGUCUCCAUACGAGGAAAAUACCGAGCGACGUCAGGAUUG
Molecule: long non-coding RNA, 168 nt
Organism: Rosa rugosa (rugosa rose)
Lineage: Eukaryota; Viridiplantae; Streptophyta; Magnoliopsida; Rosales; Rosaceae
Exons: 3
Source: RefSeq, a predicted model, not a curated record